UAGGGAAUCUUCGGCAAUGGACGGAAGUCUGACCGAGCAACGCCGCGUGAGUGAAGAAGGUUUUCGGAUCGUAAAGCCCUGUUGUUAGAGAAGAACGUUGGUAGGAGUGGAAAAUCUACUAAGUGACGGUAACUAACCAGAAAGGGACGGCUAACUACGUGCCAGCAGCCGCGGUAAUACGUAGGUCCCGAGCGUUGUCCGGAUUUAUUGGGCGUAAAGCGAGCGCAGGCGGUUCUUUAAGUCUGAAGUUAAAGGCAGUGGCUUAACCAUUGUACGCUUUGGAAACUGGAGGACUUGAGUGCAGAAGGGGAGAGUGGAAUUCCAUGUGUAGCGGUGAAAUGCGUAGAUAUAUGGAGGAACACCGGUGGCGAAAGCGGCUCUCUGGUCUGUAACUGACGCUGAGGCUCGAAAGCGUGGGGAGCAAACAGG
RNAcentral lists this ribosomal RNA (429 nucleotides) under Bacillota bacterium. Its description in RNAcentral is "Firmicutes bacterium partial 16S ribosomal RNA". It matches the Rfam family "Bacterial small subunit ribosomal RNA", at positions 355 to 776 of the family's 1533-position model. The record is from RNAcentral. Lineage: Bacteria; Bacillati; Bacillota.